AUUGAACGCUGGCGGCAUGCCUUACACAUGCAAGUCGAACGGCAGCACGGGUGCUUGCACCUGGUGGCGAGUGGCGAACGGGUGAGUAAUACAUCGGAACGUACCUUAUCGUGGGGGAUAACGCAGCGAAAGCUGUGCUAAUACCGCAUACGCCCUGAGGGGGAAAGCGGGGGAUCGCAAGACCUCGCGCGAUUAGAGCGGCCGAUGCCUGAUUAGCUUGUUGGUGGGGUAAAAGCCCACCAAGGCGACGAUCAGUAGCUGGUCUGAGAGGACGAUCAGCCACACGGGGACUGAGACACGGCCCAGACUCCUACGGGGGGCAGCAGUGGGGAAUUUUGGACAAUGGGGGCAACCCUGAUCCAGCAAUGCCGCGUGAGUGAAUGAGGCCUUCGGGUUGUAAAGCUCUUUUGUCAGGGAAGAAACACCGGCUCUAACACAGUCCGGGAAUGACGGUACCUGAAGAAUAAGCACCGGCUAACUACGUGCCAGCCGCCGCCGUAA
RNAcentral lists this ribosomal RNA (501 nucleotides) under uncultured bacterium. RNAcentral describes it as "partial 16S ribosomal RNA". It matches the Rfam family "Bacterial small subunit ribosomal RNA", at positions 29 to 523 of the family's 1533-position model. The record is from RNAcentral.